GAAUAAAUGUGACUUUGGUGAAUGAAUUAAAGAACUUAUGGUUUUUUUUAGAUGAAAACGGUUUUCUACCCCUCGUGGUAGCGUGUUUUAAAGAAAAGAGUUUCCGUGUGGGAAACGGUUUUGAAAAGGUUUUUGUUGGUUUUCAUAACUCUUAGUAAUUCAAAAUAAGUUUUCAGGUGGGAAACAUUUUAAACUGAUAGAUGUGCAUUUAUGGAUAUUUGUAAUGAAAUGAAUGUAAUGUGAAUAGUGAAUGUAUGUGUAUGCUCAUACUGUUACGGUUGUAUAUUGUGUUUGUGCGAUCAGUGCAAAUACAGAGGAGACUCUGUCCGUGUGAACAGUAGAUUUUCUGUAUUUGUGGCGAAUCUGGCAUACUCUGGG
This 378-nucleotide long non-coding RNA is filed under the name Ananas comosus (pineapple). Its description in RNAcentral is "long non-coding RNA (ACOM_LNC019409)". Lineage: Eukaryota; Viridiplantae; Streptophyta; Magnoliopsida; Poales; Bromeliaceae. The record is from RNAcentral.